UUCCAGCUCCAAUAGCGUAUAUUAAAGUUGUUGCGGUUAAAAAGCUCGUAGUCGAAUCUGUGUCCCGCGUCGCCGGUUCAUCGUCCGCGGUGUUAACUGGCGUUCCGCGGGACGUCCUGCCGGUGGGCUUAGCCCGCAAGGGCGGCCCAACUCAAUCCCGCCGCGGUGCUCUUCACUGAGUGUCGAGGUGGGCCGGCACGUUUACUUUGAACAAAUUAGAGUGCUUAAAGCAGGCUAAAACUUCGCCUGAAUACUGUGUGCAUGGAAUAAUGGAAUAGGACCUCGGUUCUAUUUUGUUGGUUUUCGGAACCCCGAGGUAAUGAUUAAUAGGAACGGAUGG
RNAcentral lists this ribosomal RNA (340 nucleotides) under Batocera horsfieldi. Its description in RNAcentral is "SSU rRNA". It matches the Rfam family "Eukaryotic small subunit ribosomal RNA", at positions 583 to 885 of the family's 1831-position model. The record is from RNAcentral. Lineage: Eukaryota; Metazoa; Arthropoda; Insecta; Coleoptera; Cerambycidae.